This is a long non-coding RNA of Passer domesticus (house sparrow), 690 nucleotides long. RefSeq lists it as uncharacterized. The transcript has 5 exons. The record is from RefSeq and is a predicted model, not a curated record. NCBI's taxonomy places the organism in Eukaryota, Metazoa, Chordata, Aves, Passeriformes, Passeridae.
CAGCUACCAUCUGGUCCCUGGGCAUCCUGCUGCACGAGAUGGUCUGUGGGAAGAUGCCUUUCAGGAGGGGCUGGAACUUCAGCUGGGGCCAGCUCUCACUGCCACAACGGCUCUCUCCAGAGUGCCAAAAUCUGAUUGGGUGGUGUUUAUCCAUGCACCCCUUGGCCAGACCCUCAUUAGAAGAGCUGUUCUGUCAUCCUUGGAUGCAGGAUAUUCCUCUGCCCUAGAAGAAGGGAGAGAGCCACAGGCACACUUUGAUCCAGGGCCCUGAGAAGGAGAAGGAGCUCCCAGAGAAGCUGUACCGGGUGGGGCUGCUGCUGCAGGAGACAGCGAGGAUGACAUCAAGGAUGACAACCUCUUCCUCAACCUGGCCACCAGCAGUUGAAGAGGAAGCAUUCUAGGUGGUCCAGUCUGGAUUGGGAAGUGCUUGGGACCAGCUGCAGCGUGGAUGGGCCGUGCCCUUGGAGCAGGCUGAGGACAUCGUUUGGGACCAGCUUUUCUUCCAGCCGUGGAUGGCGUGAGCCAGGCUCUGCGGAUGCUGAGGCUGCUCUGGGCUCUGCCAGGGCUCUGCUGGAGCUCAGCACCGGGCUGGAAUCAGCCAAAGAAGAAAUGGUGUCACCUGCAGCACAGACUUGCUUGAGCAUUUUGACAACACAGCUCAAGUUUGCAGCGUGGACACCUCCAAGGGAA